UUUGAUCGAGCCGAGCCACAGCGGCGUGUCGCGGUCCUGCCCGUAGGUGGCCAGCAGCGCUUGGGCCUC
Molecule: antisense RNA, 69 nt
Filed under: Actinomadura meyerae
Lineage: Bacteria; Bacillati; Actinomycetota; Actinomycetes; Streptosporangiales; Thermomonosporaceae
Description: ASpks TB sRNA
Rfam family: ASpks TB sRNA
Source: Rfam by way of RNAcentral